ACUUUCAACAACGGAUCUCUUGGCUCUCGCACCGAUGAAGAACGCAGCGAAAUGCGAUAAGUAAUGUGAAUUGCAGAAUUCAGUGAAUCAUCGAAUCUUUGAACGCACCUUGCGCUCCUUGGUAUUCCGAGGAGCAUGCCUGUUUGAGUGUCA
This 153-nucleotide ribosomal RNA is filed under the name Hypsizygus marmoreus. RNAcentral describes it as "5.8S ribosomal RNA". It matches the Rfam family "5.8S ribosomal RNA". From Rfam's summary of the family: 5.8S ribosomal RNA (5.8S rRNA) is a component of the large subunit of the eukaryotic ribosome. It is transcribed by RNA polymerase I as part of the 45S precursor that also contains 18S and 28S rRNA. Lineage: Eukaryota; Fungi; Basidiomycota; Agaricomycetes; Agaricales; Lyophyllaceae. The record is from RNAcentral.